GGAGUCAGACUGCACGAGAUAAGUUGGGCAGUCAAAAGGGAAAGAGCCCAGACCUGCUGCUAAGGUCCCAAAGUACGUGUUAAGUGGAAAAGGAUGUGGGAUUUCGAAGACAACUAGGAUGUUGGCUCAGAAGCAGCCACACAUUCAAAGAGUGCGUAAUAGCUCACUAGUCGAGAGGUCCUGCGCCGAAAAUGUCCGGGGCUGAAACACGACACCGAAGCACAGGAUACCGCAAGGUAUGGUAGAGGAGCAUUGCUGGCGCGAUGAAGCAGUACCGGAAGGAGCUGUGGAGUGCCAGGAAGAGAGAAUGCCGGAAUGAGUAGCGAGAGAGAGGUGGGAAUCCUCUCGGCCGAAUAUCCAAGGUUUCCAGGGUAAAGCUGAUCUGCCCUGGGUAAGUCGGGGCCUAAGGAGAGGCAGAAAUGCGUAUCCGAUGGACAGCAGGUUGAGAUUCCUGCACUAUCUUAAAACAGAACUGUGGGGACAUUUGUGGAGAGCACAGGCGCGGAACGGAAAGCCGCGUGCAAGCGAAGGAGGAGUCACAUAGGAAAAACCGUGUGGCAAUCCAGAGGCGUGAUGCGGACCGAACUAAAGUAGGGAAGUGUGUGAGCCAUGAAUCAAGAAAAGCCGCUAUUGUUUUUAAGAUACCCGUACCGUAAACCGACACAGGUGGAUGAGGAGAGAAUCCUAAGGCCGGCGGAAGAAGCAUUGUUAAGGAACUCGGCAAAAUGACCCCGUAACUUCGGGAGAAGGGGUGCCUGCGAGAGCAGGCCGCAGAGAAUAGGCUCAAGCAACUGUUUAGCAAAAACACAGGUCUAUGCAAAACCGUAAGGUGAGGUAUAUGGGCUGACGCCUGCCCGGUGCUGGAAGGUUAAGAGGAGAGGUUAGCGCAAGCGAAGCUUUGAAUUUAAGCCCCAGUAAACGGCGGCCGUAACUAUAACGGUCCUAAGGUAGCGAAAUUCCUUGUCGGGUAAGUUCCGACCCGCACGAAAGGCGUAAUGAUUUGAGCGCUGUCUCGACAAUGCAUCCGGUGAAAUUGAAGUACCAGUGAAGAUGCUGGUUACCUGCGCCAGGACGGAAAGACCCCAUGGAGCUUUACUCCAGUUUGGUACUGGGGUCCGGUAUUGCAUGUACAGGAUAGGUGGGAGGCUAGGAAGCAGUAACGCCAGUUGCUGCGGAGCCGCUGUUGGGAUACCACCCUUGCAGUACUGGGCUUCUAACCAGCCGCCGUGAACCGGCGGUGGGACAAUGCCAGACGGGGAGUUUGACUGGGGCGGUCGCCUCCGAAAGGGUAUCGGAGGCGC
This 1301-nucleotide ribosomal RNA is filed under the name human gut metagenome. Its description in RNAcentral is "bacterial LSU rRNA". It matches the Rfam family "Bacterial large subunit ribosomal RNA", at positions 980 to 2309 of the family's 2925-position model. The record is from RNAcentral.